UUAUUUUCCCCUAUGUCCUUUAAUCCUCAUUACUUUGCUUAUGGAGAUGGUGAUUAGAUAAUCCCCUUCCAUCUGAGUUUUGUUAUAGUGUAGACUUGUGUGCUGCAGUCUUAUGCCUUUGGAUAUUCCCUAACUUUUGCAUGAACUGCUUUUAAGAGUUUUAAUUCACCGGGAGUUUUACCCUUUUCUUCUUAAGUCGGCCUUUCAGGUUUUAAACUUAUUGGGCUUAACUUUUUUGUUUAUCCCUUAUUUUUUCCUGAGUCGCCCUUGCGGAUUUUUAACUCACUGGGGUGCUCAUUUUGUGCCUUAGUCAACCUUUCAGGUUUUCAACUUAGCGUGCUUUUAUUAUCCAUCUCUUUUUCUUACAUUUAAUACUUUUUGACGACAUCAUAGUUGACGAGAUGUGUCAACUCUUCUCCAUCUAUGUCUGUGAGAACUAAAAUUCAAAGGGCCGAAAAUGAUAAACCCACAACGAUAAGCAUGAAAAACAAAAGGAAAAUGAAGGAUGGAGCCUCGUCGGAUCCUGAAACUCUGACGAGAACUUCGACAAAGCCAACCUCAUGUGAAUGCAAAGAGCUCGUGACUGCCAAGUCCAACCUCAUUUUUCUGUUUUUUUUAUAAUUAUUGUAUGGAAUGUAAUGGCAUGACUAUGCUAGUGUGUAGCUUGUGUGUGUUGAAUGUUCAAAAUAAUGUAAUACAAGCAACUUUUUUUUUAAUUUCAAUCUUUUGUUUUUAUUUUA
Long non-coding RNA from Lathyrus oleraceus (garden pea), 740 nucleotides. RefSeq lists it as uncharacterized. Lineage: Eukaryota; Viridiplantae; Streptophyta; Magnoliopsida; Fabales; Fabaceae. The transcript is spliced from 2 exons. The record is from RefSeq and is a predicted model, not a curated record.